RNAcentral lists this unclassified non-coding RNA (654 nucleotides) under Hevea brasiliensis (rubber tree). The record is from RNAcentral. Lineage: Eukaryota; Viridiplantae; Streptophyta; Magnoliopsida; Malpighiales; Euphorbiaceae.
GACAACACACGCAGCUCGCCGACCAGAGACAGAGAGAGACCAUCUGCUAGCUUAGCUGCCAUGGCCGCCUCCACCGUCUCCGGCCUCGCCGGCGCCACCCUCGCCCGCCGGCCGGCCUUCUCCACCGGCUUCACGACGGGCGCCCGGGUGUCGGCGAGGAACCCGCUGCUGACGAGGAACCUGGAGAGGAACGGCAGGAUCACCUGCAUGACGUUUCCGCAGGACUGGCUUAGGAGGGACCUGAACGUGAUCGGGUUCGGGCUGAUCGGGUGGAUCGCGCCGUCGAGCGUCCCGGCGAUCAACGGCAACAGCCUCACGGGGCUCUUCUUCUCCAGCAUCGGCCAGGAGCUCUCCCACUUCCCCUCGCCGCCGGCGCUCGACUCGCCGUUCUGGCUGUGGUUGGUGACGUGGCACCUUGGGCUGUUCCUGGCGCUCACCUUCGGCCAGAUCGGGUUCAAGGGCAGGACCGAGGGCUACUUCGACAAGUGAAUGAAUCCACAGUGGCUUUUGGUUAGCUUGACUGUACGGACGGAUGUGUGCGCUGCAUAUCCUUCCUUUUGUAUAGGGCUCUGAUUUGAUCCUCUUGCGGAUGUACGCUGUUGUAAUUCUCCUCAACUCCUUAAAACUUUAAAGGACAAAUAUAUGUGUUGUGGC